Molecule: ribosomal RNA, 447 nt
Filed under: Megabalanus ajax
Lineage: Eukaryota; Metazoa; Arthropoda; Thecostraca; Balanomorpha; Balanidae
Description: partial 16S ribosomal RNA
Rfam family: Bacterial large subunit ribosomal RNA
Source: RNAcentral
AUUAGUCUUUUAAUUGGAGACUGGUAUGAAUGGCUAAACGAGAGAUUGACUUUUUUUGUUAUAAAGAUUGAAUUUAAUUUUUUAGUGAAAAAGCUAAAAUUUUUCAGAAAGACGAGAAGACCCUAUAGAGUUUCAUACCUCAAAAUACUUUUUUUAAGUGGAUGUUUCAAACAAAGUAUUGUCGGGUAUUUUGUUGGGGCGACAUUAAGAUAAAUAAAACUCUUUUUUUUUUAAAUUUUCAUAGAAAUAUAUUUAUGAUCCUUUAAAAAAGAUCAAAAGAAAAAAUUACCUUAGGGAUAACAGCGUAAUCUUUUUUGAGAGUUCUAAUCGACAAAAAGGUUUGCGACCUCGAUGUUGGACUAAAAUUUAGGCAAGGUGCAGCAGUUUUGCUUUAAGGUCUGUUCGACCUAUAAUAUUUUACACGAUCUGAGUUCAGACCGGCGUGAG